Gasterosteus aculeatus aculeatus (three-spined stickleback) is the source of this 823-nucleotide non-coding RNA. The record is from RefSeq and is a predicted model, not a curated record. Lineage: Eukaryota; Metazoa; Chordata; Actinopteri; Perciformes; Gasterosteidae.
GCAGAAAACUACAAAAUACAACAGGAAGUGAACCACACCGUGACACUUCUAGACAACUGCGAUGAACAGGUAAUCAACAAGUAGUUUGGGGAUGUGGUAUAGCAGGGUUCUAAAUUACAUUUGAGCUCGGACCAAAAUCGUGGGGACCGACUACAGACAUUUGCACGACUAUGAAGUCUGAAACAAGACAUCGAUUAUAAAAUGGACUGAAUGUGCUGUUAUAGAGACACUAAUAAUUAUCGUGGGUAGGUUUGGAUAUUUGCUGACAAAUAUGAUGUGGUUGUAUCUUUUCUUUUCUUUUUUAAGAAGUACCAAAAUACAAAUUGGUCUGUCACCAUUUGGUGUUCUACCCCUUUACUACUGUGGUCAGCACACAUUUUUUAUUUUAUGUCCGAUUGUUACUUUUCAGACAACUGAUGUGCUUACCCACAGAAAGUCUACAGUCUACGAGGUGUACACUUCUUUGUGAGGAGCCUGAAGAACUGUCUGAAUUCAGACCCGGAGGAGACUUGUGUCCAGGGAGUCCAACUUGGAAUAGUCACAGUGGUUGAAGGUGACGUUGGAACGGUCCGAUCAAGUCCAACAACAACAAGCAUCGCCCUGGUUAUUGAGCAAUGGAUUGUCCUGCAUGAUGCAUGCGACCUCUCAGCAGCAUUCUCUCAUCUGUGCUCUGUGUGUUUUUACUAAAUGCCACUGAUGUGUUGACCACAUCUGGUGAAAAGCAUUUCUAAAGACCAGUGUACAGUUGUCUUGUUACAGACUAUACGAUAGGUGCUUUUGUUUCUGUUCAUUCAUAAUAAAGGCAAAAAAGCCUCAUACUGUU